Molecule: ribosomal RNA, 475 nt
Filed under: uncultured bacterium
Lineage: Bacteria
Description: bacterial SSU rRNA
Rfam family: Bacterial small subunit ribosomal RNA
Source: RNAcentral
CAGGACGAACGCUGGCGGCGUGCCUAACACAUGCAAGUCGAGCGAGGAGAUCCUCGGGAUGAUCCUAGCGGCGGACGGGUGAGUAACACGUGGGCAACCUGCCUCAUAGAGAGGAAUAGCCUUCCGAAAGGGAGAUUAAUACCUCAUAACAUUGCAGUUUCGCAUGGAACAGCAAUUAAAGGAGUAAUCCGCUAUGAGAUGGGCCCGCGGCGCAUUAGCUAGUUGGUGAGGUAAUGGCUCACCAAGGCGACGAUGCGUAGCCGACCUGAGAGGGUGAUCGGCCACAUUGGGACUGAGACACGGCCCAGACUCCUACGGGAGGCAGCAGUGGGGAAUAUUGCACAAUGGGGGAAACCCUGAUGCAAGCAACGCCGCGUGAGUGAUGGCGGCCUUCGGGUUGUAAAGCUCUGUCUUCAGGGACGAUAAUGACGGUACCUGAGGAGGAAGCCACGGCUAACUACGUGCCAGCAGCCGC